Molecule: ribosomal RNA, 353 nt
Filed under: uncultured bacterium
Lineage: Bacteria
Description: bacterial SSU rRNA
Rfam family: Bacterial small subunit ribosomal RNA
Source: RNAcentral
GGACCCGCACAAGUAGUGGAGCAUGUGGUUUAAUUCGAAGAUACGCGCAGAACCUUACCAACACUUGACAUGUUCGUCGCGACUCUAAGAGAUUAGAGUUUUCGGUUCGGCCGGACGAAACACAGGUGCUGCAUGGCUGUCGUCAGCUCGUGUCGUGAGAUGUUGGGUUAAGUCCCGCAACGAGCGCAACCCUCACUUUUAGUUGCCAUCAUUUAGUUGGGCACUCUGAAAGAACUGCCAGUGAUAAGCUGGAGGAAGGUGGGGAUGACGUCAAGUCCUCAUGGCCCUUACGUGUUGGGCUACACACGUGCUACAAUGGUAUUUACAACAGGAAGCAAGACGGCGACGUUAAG